GGGUAGAUGGCUGAGUGGUUGAAGGCAUCAGUUUUGAAAACUGACGAUAGUUUAGGCUAUUCGUGGGUUCGAAUCCUACUCUACCCG
Molecule: transfer RNA, 87 nt
Filed under: Tetraselmis sp. CCMP 881
Lineage: Eukaryota; Viridiplantae; Chlorophyta; Chlorodendrophyceae; Chlorodendrales; Chlorodendraceae
Description: tRNA-Ser
Rfam family: tRNA
About the family: Transfer RNA (tRNA) molecules are approximately 80 nucleotides in length.
Source: RNAcentral